CUGAGGACAGGUGCUGCAUGGCUGUCGUCAGCUCGUGUUGUGAAGUGUUGGGUUAAGUCCCGNAACGAGCGCAACCCUUAUCCUUUGUUGCCAGCACGUAAUGGUGGGAACUCAAAGGAGACUGCCGGUGAUAAACCGGAGGAAGGUGGGGAUGACGUCAAGUCAUCAUGGCCCUUACGAGUAGGGCUACACACGUGCUACAAUGGCGCAUACAAAGAGAAGCGACCUCGCGAGAGCAAGCGGACCUCAUAAAGUGCGUCGUAGUCCGGAUUGGAGUCUGCGACUCGACUCCAUGAAGUCGGAAUCGCUAGUAAUCGUAAAUCAGAAUGUUACGGUGAAUACGUUCCCGGGCCUUGUACACACCGCCCGUCACACCAUGGGAGUGGGUUGCAAAAGAAGUAGAUAGCUUAACCUUCGGGAGGGCGUUUACCACUUUGUGAUUCAUGACUGGGGUGAAGUCGUAACAAGGUAAGCGUAGUGCU
Molecule: ribosomal RNA, 482 nt
Filed under: uncultured bacterium
Lineage: Bacteria
Description: bacterial SSU rRNA
Rfam family: Bacterial small subunit ribosomal RNA
Source: RNAcentral